GAUGAACGCUAGCUACAGGCUUAACACAUGCAAGUCGAGGGGAAACGACAUCGAAAGCUUGCUUUUGAUGGGCGUCGACCGGCGCACGGGGGAGUAACGCGUAUCCAACCUGCCCACCACUUGGGGAUAACCUUGCGAAAGUAAGACUAAUACCCAAUGAUAUCUCUAGAAGACAUCUGAAAGAGAUUAAAGAUUUAUCGGGAAUGGAUGGGGAUGCGUCUGAUUAGCUUGUUGGCGGGGUAACGGCCCACCAAGGCUACGAUCAGUAGGGGGUCUGAGAGGAAGGUCCCCCACAUUGGAACUGAGACACGGUCCAAACUCCUACGGGAGGCAGCAGUGAGGAAUAUUGGUCAAUGGACGAGAGUCUGAACCAGCCAAGUAGCGUGCAGGAUGACGGCCCUAUGGGUUGUAAACUGCUUUUAUAAGGGAAUAAAGUGAGUCUCGUGAGACUUUUUGCAUGUACCUUAUGAAUAAGGACCGGCUAAUUCCGUGCCAGCCGCCGCAGUAA
Molecule: ribosomal RNA, 508 nt
Filed under: uncultured bacterium
Lineage: Bacteria
Description: partial 16S ribosomal RNA
Rfam family: Bacterial small subunit ribosomal RNA
Source: RNAcentral